This 253-nucleotide ribosomal RNA is filed under the name uncultured bacterium. RNAcentral's name for it is "partial 16S ribosomal RNA". It matches the Rfam family "Bacterial small subunit ribosomal RNA", at positions 524 to 776 of the family's 1533-position model. The record is from RNAcentral.
UACGUAGGUGGCAAGCGUUGUCCGGAUUUACUGGGCGUAAAGAGCGCGCAGGCGGUCGUGCAAGUCGCGUGUGAAAGCCCCCGGCUCAACUGGGGAGGGUCACGCGAUACUGCUCGACUUGAAGGCAGGAGAGGGAAGUGGAAUUCCCGGUGUAGUGGUGAAAUGCGUAGAGAUCGGGAGGAACAUCAGUUGCGAAGGCGGCUCUCUGGACCAGCACUGACACUGAGGCACGAAAGCGUGGGGAGCAAACAGG